Molecule: ribosomal RNA, 496 nt
Filed under: uncultured bacterium
Lineage: Bacteria
Description: partial 16S ribosomal RNA
Rfam family: Bacterial small subunit ribosomal RNA
Source: RNAcentral
AUGAACGCUGGCGGCGUGCCUAAUACAUGCAAGUCGAGCGAGCAGAUGAGGAGCUUGCUCCUCUGACGUUAGCGGCGGACGGGUGAGUAACACGUGGAUAACCUACCUAUAAGACUGGGAUAACUUCGGGAAACCGGAGCUAAUACCGGAUAAUAUAUUGAACCGCAUGGUUCAAUAGUGAAAGACGGUUUUGCUGUCACUUAUAGAUGGAUCCGCGCCGCAUUAGCUAGUUGGUAAGGUAACGGCUUACCAAGGCGACGAUGCGUAGCCGACCUGAGAGGGUGAUCGGCCACACUGGAACUGAGACACGGUCCAGACUCCUACGGGAGGCAGCAGUAGGGAAUCUUCCGCAAUGGGCGAAAGCCUGACGGAGCAACGCCGCGUGAGUGAUGAAGGUCUUCGGAUCGUAAAACUCUGUUAUUAGGGAAGAACAAAUGUGUAAGUAACUAUGCACGUCUUGACGGUACCUAAUCAGAAAGCCACGGCUAACUACGUG